RNAcentral lists this ribosomal RNA (500 nucleotides) under uncultured Glomeromycotina. RNAcentral describes it as "partial small subunit ribosomal RNA". It matches the Rfam family "Eukaryotic small subunit ribosomal RNA", at positions 591 to 1092 of the family's 1831-position model. Lineage: Eukaryota; Fungi; Glomeromycota. The record is from RNAcentral.
CCAAUAGCGUAUAUUAAAGUUGUUGCAGUUAAAAAGCUCGUAGUUGAAUUUCGGGGUUAGUAGGUUGGUCAUGCCUCUGGUAUGUACUGGUCUCACUGAUUCCUCCUUCCUGAUGAACCGUAAUGCCAUUAAUUUGGUGUUGCGGGGAAUUUGGACUGUUACUUUGAAAAAAUUGGAGUGUUUAAAGCAAGCUAACGCUUGAAUACAUUAGCAUGGAAUAAUGAAAUAGGACGUUCGAUCCUAUUUUGUUGGUUUCUAGGAUUGACGUAAUGAUUAAUAGGGAUAGUUGGGGGCAUUAGUAUUCAAUUGUCAGAGGUGAAAUUCUUGGAUUUAUUGAAGACUAACUACUGCGAAAGCAUUUGCCAAGGAUGUUUUCAUUAAUCAAGAACGAAAGUUAGGGGAUCGAAGACGAUCAGAUACCGUCGUAGUCUUAACCAUAAACUAUGCCGACUAGGGAUCGGAUGAUGUUAAUUUUCUAAUGACUCAUUCGGCGCCUUACG